UACGGGGGGGGCAAGCGUUGUUCGGAAUUACUGGGCGUAAAGGGCGCGUAGGCGGCCUUCUAAGUCAGACGUGAAAUCCCCCGGCUCAACCGGGGAACGGGCGCGGAUACGACCGGUCUGGAGGGACGUAGGGGGACCUGGAACUUCCGGUGGAGCGGUGAAAUGCGUUGAGAUCGGAAGGAACGCCCGUGGCGAAAGCGAGGUCCUGGACGUUUACUGACGCUGAGACGCGAAAGCCAGGGGAGCGAACGGG
This 253-nucleotide ribosomal RNA is filed under the name uncultured bacterium. Its description in RNAcentral is "partial 16S ribosomal RNA". It matches the Rfam family "Bacterial small subunit ribosomal RNA", at positions 524 to 776 of the family's 1533-position model. The record is from RNAcentral.